AGUGAACGCUGGCGGUAGGCCUAACACAUGCAAGUCGAACGGCAGCACAGUAAGAGCUUGCUCUUACGGGUGGCGAGUGGCGGACGGGUGAGGAAUACAUCGGAAUCUACUUUUUCGUGGGGGAUAACGUAGGGAAACUUACGCUAAUACCGCAUACGACCUACGGGUGAAAGCAGGGGAUCUUCGGACCUUGCGCGAUUGAAUGAGCCGAUGUCGGAUUAGCUAGUUGGCGGGGUAAAGGCCCACCAAGGCGACGAUCCGUAGCUGGUCUGAGAGGAUGGUCAGCGACACUGGAGCUGAGACAAGGUCCAGACGCCUAAGGGAGGCAGCAGUGGGGAAUAUUGGACAAUGGGCGCAAGCCUGAUCCAGCCAGACCGCGUGGGUGAAGAAGGCCUUCGGGUUGUAAAGACCUUUUGUUGGGAAAGAAAAGCAGCAGGUUAAUACCCCGCUGUUCUGACGGUACCCAAAGAAUAAGCACCGGCUAACUUCGUG
This 492-nucleotide ribosomal RNA is filed under the name uncultured bacterium. Its description in RNAcentral is "partial 16S ribosomal RNA". It matches the Rfam family "Bacterial small subunit ribosomal RNA", at positions 29 to 507 of the family's 1533-position model. The record is from RNAcentral.